RNAcentral lists this ribosomal RNA (194 nucleotides) under uncultured bacterium. Its description in RNAcentral is "partial 16S ribosomal RNA". It matches the Rfam family "Bacterial small subunit ribosomal RNA", at positions 338 to 524 of the family's 1533-position model. The record is from RNAcentral.
CCUACGGGGGGCAGCAGUGGGGAAUAUUGCACAAUGGGCGCAAGCCUGAUGCAGCCAUGCCGCGUGUGUGAAGAAGGCCUUCGGGUUGUAAAGCACUUUCAGCGAGGAGGAAGGUGGUGAGCUUAAUACGCUCAUCAAUUGACGUUACUCGCAGAAGAAGCACCGGCUAACUCCGUGCCAGCAGCCGCGGUAAU